This 72-nucleotide transfer RNA is filed under the name Camelus bactrianus (Bactrian camel). It matches the Rfam family "tRNA". From Rfam's summary of the family: Transfer RNA (tRNA) molecules are approximately 80 nucleotides in length. Their secondary structure includes four short double-helical elements and three loops (D, anti-codon, and T loops). The record is from Rfam by way of RNAcentral. Lineage: Eukaryota; Metazoa; Chordata; Mammalia; Artiodactyla; Camelidae. RNAcentral also lists the same sequence under 2 other names.
GUGGUAAUAGCUCAGAGGUAGAGUACAUGUUUAACACGCAUGAGGUCCUGGGUUCAAUCCCCAGUACCUCCA